Non-coding RNA from Kogia breviceps (pygmy sperm whale), 269 nucleotides. The record is from RefSeq and is a predicted model, not a curated record. Lineage: Eukaryota; Metazoa; Chordata; Mammalia; Artiodactyla; Physeteridae.
CUUACAUUGAUGAAAGUAUAUGGAAGGCAUACCGCUGGCCUGAGAAUCUAUUCUAUGUAUAAGUGACAACAUACAGUAUUUGUCUUUCUUUGGAAAAAACAGACUAUAAAAUAAAGACCAUGAAAAGGGACAAAGAAGGAGCUUACAUAAUGAUAAAGGGACUGUUCCAACAAGAAUAUAUAAUUGCAAGGGUAACAAAAGCAGAAAUAAAUAAAUGGGACUACAUCAAAAUGAAAAGUUACACACGGUGAAGGAAACUAUCAGUAAAA